GGAUGCGAUCAUACCAGCACUAAAGCACCGGAUCCCAUCAUAACUCUGAAAUUAAGCGUGCUUGGGCGAGAGUAGUACUAGGAUGAGUGACCUCCUAGGAAGUCCUCGUGUUGCAUUCC
Molecule: ribosomal RNA, 119 nt
Filed under: Hordeum vulgare subsp. vulgare (domesticated barley)
Lineage: Eukaryota; Viridiplantae; Streptophyta; Magnoliopsida; Poales; Poaceae
Source: RNAcentral